AUGACCACAUCUCGCUGAAACACUAGUUCUCAUACGAUCACCAAAGUUAAGAAAUGUCUAACCUGGUCAGUACCUAGAUGGGUGACCAUUUGGGAAUACC
Non-coding RNA from Acanthosepion pharaonis, 100 nucleotides. Lineage: Eukaryota; Metazoa; Mollusca; Cephalopoda; Sepiida; Sepiidae. The record is from the annotation of a GenBank genome assembly.